This 281-nucleotide ribosomal RNA is filed under the name uncultured bacterium. RNAcentral's name for it is "partial 16S ribosomal RNA". It matches the Rfam family "Bacterial small subunit ribosomal RNA", at positions 365 to 658 of the family's 1533-position model. The record is from RNAcentral.
UGCACAAUGGGCGAAAGCCUGAUGCAGCGACGCCGCGUGAGGGAUGACGGCCUUCGGGUUGUAAACCUCUUUCAGCAGGGACGAAGCGCAAGUGACGGUACCUGCAGAAGAAGCACCGGCUAACUACGUGCCAGCAGCCGCGGUAAUACGUAGGGUGCAAGCGUUGUCCGGAAUUACUGGGCGUAAAGAGUUCGUAGGCGGUUUGUCGCGUCGUUUGUGAAAACCAGCAGCUCAACUGCUGGCUUGCAGGCGAUACGGGCAGACUUGAGUACUGCAGGGGA